AGAGUUUGAUCAUGGCUCAGAUUGAACGCUGGCGGCAGGCCUAACACAUGCAAGUCGAACGGUAACAGAAAGCAGCUUGCUGCUUUGCUGACGAGUGGCGGACGGGUGAGUAAUGUCUGGGAAACUGCCUGAUGGAGGGGGAUAACUACUGGAAACGGUAGCUAAUACCGCAUAACGUCGCAAGACCAAAGAGGGGGACCUUCGGGCCUCUUGCCAUCGGAUGUGCCCAGAUGGGAUUAGCUAGUAGGUGGGGUAAAGGCUCACCUAGGCGACGAUCCCUAGCUGGUCUGAGAGGAUGACCAGCCACACUGGAACUGAGACACGGUCCAGACUCCUACGGGAGGCAGCAGUGGGGAAUAUUGCACAAUGGGCGCAAGCCUGAUGCAGCCAUGCCGCGUGUAUGAAGAAGGCCUUCGGGUUGUAAAGUACUUUCAGCGGGGAGGAAGGGAGUAAAGUUAAUACCUUUGCUCAUUGACGUUACCCGCAGAAGAAGCACCGGCUAACUCCGUGCCAGCAGCCGCGGUAAUACGGAGGGUGCAAGCGUUAAUCGGAAUUACUGGGCGUAAAGCGCACGCAGGCGGUUUGUUAAGUCAGAUGUGAAAUCCCCGGGCUCAACCUGGGAACUGCAUCUGAUACUGGCAAGCUUGAGUCUCGUAGAGGGGCUGAUAAUUCCAGGUGUAGCGGUGAAAUGCGUAGAGAUCUGGAGGAAUACCGGUGGCGAAGGCGGCCCCCUGGACGAAGACUGACGCUCAGGUGCGAAAGCGUGGGGAGCAAACAGGAUUAGAUACCCUGGUAGUCCACGCCGUAAACGAUGUCGACUUGGAGGUUGUGCCCUUGAGGCGUGGCUUCCGGAGCUAACGCGUUAAGUCGACCGCCUGGGGAGUACGGCCGCAAGGUUAAAACUCAAAUGAAUUGACGGGGGCCCGCACAAGCGGUGGAGCAUGUGGUUUAAUUCGAUGCAACGCGAAGAACCUUACCUGGUCUUGACAUCCACGGAAGUUUUCAGAGAUGAGAAUGUGCCUUCGGGAACCGUGAGACAGGUGCUGCAUGGCUGUCGUCAGCUCGUGUUGUGAAAUGUUGGGUUAAGUCCCGCAACGAGCGCAACCCUUAUCCUUUGUUGCCAGCGGUCCGGCCGGGAACUCAAAGGAGACUGCCAGUGAUAAACUGGAGGAAGGUGGGGAUGACGUCAAGUCAUCAUGGCCCUUACGACCAGGGCUACACACGUGCUACAAUGGCGCAUACAAAGAGAAGCGAUCUCGCGAGAGCAAGCGGACCUCAUAAAGUGCGUCGUAGUCCGGAUUGGAGUCUGCAACUCGACUCCAUGAAGUCGGAAUCGCUAGUAAUCGUGGAUCAGAAUGCCACGGUGAAUACGUUCCCGGGCCUUGUACACACCGCCCGUCACACCAUGGGAGUGGGUUGCAAAAGAAGUAGGUAGCUUAACCUUCGGGAGGGCGCUUACCACUUUGUGAUUCAUGACUGGGGUGAAGUCGUAACAAGGUAACCGUAGGGGAACCUGCGGUUGGAUCACCU
Molecule: ribosomal RNA, 1530 nt
Filed under: Escherichia coli UMEA 3257-1
Lineage: Bacteria; Pseudomonadati; Pseudomonadota; Gammaproteobacteria; Enterobacterales; Enterobacteriaceae
Description: bacterial SSU rRNA
Rfam family: Bacterial small subunit ribosomal RNA
Source: RNAcentral